RNAcentral lists this ribosomal RNA (440 nucleotides) under uncultured bacterium. Its description in RNAcentral is "partial 16S ribosomal RNA". It matches the Rfam family "Bacterial small subunit ribosomal RNA", at positions 338 to 795 of the family's 1533-position model. The record is from RNAcentral.
CCUACGGGGGGCAGCAGUGGGGAAUAUUGCUCAAUGGGGGAAACCCUGAAGCAGCAACGCCGCGUGGAGGAUGACGGUUUUAUGAUUGUAAACUCCUUUUGUUAGGGAAGAUUAUGACGGUAUCUAACGAAUAAGCACCGGCUAACUCCGUGCCAGCAGCCGCGGUAAUACGGAGGGUGCAAGCGUUACUCGGAAUCACUGGGCGUAAAGGGUGCGUAGGCGGGGUAAUAAGUCAGAUGUGAAAUUCUGUAGCUUAACUGCAGAACUGCAUUUGAAACUGUUACUCUGGAGUGUAGGAGAGGUAGGUGGAAUUCGUGGUGUAGGGGUAAAAUCCGUAGAGAUCAAGAGGAACACCCAUUGCGAAGGCGACCUGCUGGAAUAUUACUGACGCUGAUGCUCGAAAGUGUGGGGAGCAAACAGGAUUAGAUACCCCUGUAGUC